This 465-nucleotide ribosomal RNA is filed under the name Vreelandella stevensii. RNAcentral's name for it is "partial 16S ribosomal RNA". It matches the Rfam family "Bacterial small subunit ribosomal RNA", at positions 338 to 795 of the family's 1533-position model. The record is from RNAcentral. Lineage: Bacteria; Pseudomonadati; Pseudomonadota; Gammaproteobacteria; Oceanospirillales; Halomonadaceae.
CCUACGGGGAGGCAGCAGUGGGGAAUAUUGGACAAUGGGCGAAAGCCUGAUCCAGCCAUGCCGCGUGUGUGAAGAAGGCCUUCGGGUUGUAAGGCACUUUCAGUGGGGAAGAAAGCCUUGGGGCUAAUACCCUCGAGGAAGGACAUCACCCACAGAAGAAGCACCGGCUAACUCCGUGCCAGCAGCCGCGGUAAUACGGAGGGUGCGAGCGUUAAUCGGAAUUACUGGGCGUAAAGCGCGCGUAGGCGGUCUGAUAAGCCGGUUGUGAAAGCCCCGGGCUCAACCUGGGAACGGCAUCCGGAACUGUCAGGCUAGAGUGCAGGAGAGGAAGGUAGAAUUCCCGGUGUAGCGGUGAAAUGCGUAGAGAUCGGGAGGAAUACCAGUGGCGAAGGCGGCCUUCUGGACUGACACUGACGCUGAGGUGCGAAAGCGUGGGUAGCAAACAGGAUUAGAUACCGUGUAGUC